ACUCAAAUGAAUAGACGGGGGCCCGCACAAGCGGUGGAACAUGUGGUUCAAUUCGACGCAACGCGAAGAACCUUACCUGGGCUUGAACUGCCACUGACCAGCGGUGGAAACAUCGCCUUCCCGCAAGGGACAGUGGUAGAGGUGCUGCAUGGCUGUCGUCAGCUCGUGCCGUGAGGUGUUGGGUUAAGUCCCGCAACGAGCGCAACCCUUACUCUUAGUUGCCACCCGCAAGGGGGAACUCUAAGAGGACUGCUCCGGAUAACGGAGAGGAAGGUGGGGAUGACGUCAAGUCAGCACGGCCUUUAUGUCCAGGGCUACACACGUGUUACAAUGCACGGUACAGACUGUCGCGAACCCGCGAGGGGGAGCCAAUCGGAAAAACCGUGCUCAGUUCGGAUUGCAGUCUGCAACUCGACUGCAUGAAGCUGGAAUCGCUAGUAAUGGCGUAUCAGAACGACGCCGUGAAUACGUUCCCGGGCCUUGUACACACCGCCCGU
RNAcentral lists this ribosomal RNA (497 nucleotides) under uncultured bacterium. RNAcentral's name for it is "bacterial SSU rRNA". It matches the Rfam family "Bacterial small subunit ribosomal RNA", at positions 899 to 1397 of the family's 1533-position model. The record is from RNAcentral.